RNAcentral lists this ribosomal RNA (387 nucleotides) under Montanacalles nevadaensis. RNAcentral's name for it is "eukaryotic LSU rRNA". It matches the Rfam family "Eukaryotic large subunit ribosomal RNA", at positions 1340 to 1652 of the family's 3401-position model. Lineage: Eukaryota; Metazoa; Arthropoda; Insecta; Coleoptera; Curculionidae. The record is from RNAcentral.
GCUUAUACUCGACCGUCUGCAGUACGUGCGAUCGCGUCUAAGCGAUUACGAAGCCUUGACGAGUAGGAGGGCCGCGGCGGUGUGCGCAGAAAGGCUCUUCGCGAGGCCGUCUGGAGCCGCUCGCCGGUCCAGAUCUUGGUGGUAGUAGCAAAUACUCCAGCGAGGCCCUGGAGGACUGACGUGGAGAAGGGUUUCGUGUGAACAGCCGUUGCACACGAGUCAGUCGAUCCUAAGCUCUAGGCGAAAGCCGAUGUCAAUGCGGUGUAGCUUUAUGAUACGAACAAAACGAUAAUCGUUACGUAACGCUUACACGAUCACACCCAUCGGGCGAAAGGGAAUCCGGUUCCUAUUCCGGAACCUGGUASCGGAGCCGUAAAAAAGUCGGCC